AGCAGCCGCGGUAAUUCCAGCUCCAAUAGCGUAUAUUAAAGUUGCUGCAGUUAAAAAGCUCGUAGUUGAAUUUCGGGAUUGACACAUCGGUCGUGCCUUAAGGGGUAUGAACUGGUGUAGUCAAUUUCUCACCUUCUGGAGAACCGCGAUGCCCUUAAUUGGGUGUCGCGGGGAACCAGGACCUUUACUUUGAAAAAAUUAGAGUGUUUAAAGCAGGCAUUUUGCUUGAAUACAUUAGCAUGGAAUAAUAAAAUAGGACGGCAUGAUUCUAUUUUGUUGGUUUCUAGGAUCACCGUAAUGAUUAAUAGGGAUAGUUGGGGGCAUUAGUAUUCAAUUGUCAGAGGUGAAAUUCUUGGAUUUAUUGAAGACUAACUACUGCGAAAGCAUUUGCCAAGGAUGUUUUCAUUAAUCAAGAACGAAAGUUAGGGGAUCGAAGACGAUCAGAUACCGUCGUAGUCUUAACCAUAAACUAUGCCGACUAGGAAUCAGACGAUGUAAUUUUUUAAUGACUCGUUUGGCA
RNAcentral lists this ribosomal RNA (520 nucleotides) under uncultured Entrophospora. RNAcentral's name for it is "SSU rRNA". It matches the Rfam family "Eukaryotic small subunit ribosomal RNA", at positions 569 to 1085 of the family's 1831-position model. The record is from RNAcentral. Lineage: Eukaryota; Fungi; Glomeromycota; Glomeromycetes; Entrophosporales; Entrophosporaceae.